GACGAACGCUGGCGGCGUGCUUAACACAUGCAAGUCGAACGGAAGGGCCCUGCUUUUGUGGUGUGCUCGAUUGGCGAACGGGUGAGUAACACGUGAGUAACCUGCCCUUGACUUUCGGAUAACUUCAGGAAACUGGGGCUACUAUAGGAUAGGAUCUCCUGCUGCGUGGUGGGGGUUGGAAAGUUUCGGCGGUUGGGGAUGGACUAGCGGCUUAUGAGCUUGUUGGUGGGGUAGUGGAUUACCAAGGCUUUGACGGGUAGCCCGCAUGAGAGGGGGAACGGGCACAUUGGGACUGCGAGACGGACCAGACUCCUACGGGAGGCAGCAGUGGGGAAUAUUGCACAACGGGCGCAAGCCUGAGGCAGCAACGCCCCGUGCGGGAUGACGGCCUUUGGGUUGUAAACCGCUUUCGCCUGUGACGAAGCGUGAGUGACGGUAAUGGGUAAAGAAGCACCGGCUAACUACGUG
RNAcentral lists this ribosomal RNA (468 nucleotides) under uncultured bacterium. RNAcentral describes it as "partial 16S ribosomal RNA". It matches the Rfam family "Bacterial small subunit ribosomal RNA", at positions 28 to 507 of the family's 1533-position model. The record is from RNAcentral.